GCAGGUUCAGAUACAGAUUGCAAGGAGAGAUAAUAGAAUUGGUUUUCCAAGCCUGAUCAUGCUCGGAAGACAUGGUCUGUGCUUUUCAGGAAUCCACUUCAACGGAAUCAGCCUUGACGAGCACACACAAGAAAUAAUAUUGCUGCCAUCCAGCUUGUGUCUGCGGUACAGCAUCCUCGGCUUGCCUUCAAGUGCCCACGGUCCCUCUCCAUCAGUGUGCAUAUGGAAAAGUCCACAUUGCUCAAGCAUUUCUUCUGAGAUGCCGCCCUCCCAUUGUUCUUUUAAGGAAAUUUCUUCCUGGCAGCGUGAGAGGGGCACUGCCUCCUACCCCCCUUCUGCCUCGGCGGAACAGUUGACCACAGCAGCAGCCGACUCCGGCUCGUCAUGUGCUUCCUCAUGUGAUGUAGGUCUGCGGCACUGUGGAGCAACCGCAUUUGAGACUCGGCACUCGUGGACAGACGGGCGUUCAGGGACUGGGGAGUUUUUGGAGGGGGUGGGGAGGCCAAUAAACCAAGAAAACGUCAGAAAUAAAAGUCGCAUCAAGUAUGCUGAUCUCUGUUUUCCUAUUUUUGUUUUGAAAUUUGAUUUUAACUAUUGCUUCUUCUGGUUGUGUCUAUUUUUUUUUUCAUCCCCACAGGCGCCGAGCUGCGCUGUUUUCUUUCUUUCUUUUUUCUUUUUUUCAUUUUCUUUUUUUGAAAUUCUGAAGCCAGACCAUCUUCUUCACAGCUCCAGGGCUGCAUCACUGUGGGCACACCAGGCUUCGCCUGCCUCACCUGCGUGGUUCCUGCUGACUCCCGCCUGAGACGGCCCACCAUACACCCAGAACCACGGAAUCGCCUGUACGUGCCCUGCAGAAGAAGGACCUGAUACAAGCUCUGGCCAGGGUCUCCUCACAGCUGGAUGGGGGCCUUGGAAGACAGUUGCAGAAGACUGGGAUGGGAUGCUAAGGGCACGCAAAAGACCGGGAAGGGGAAUUUAGGAAUACUAUACAUCAAUGCCCACCGAUGCUAUGCAUACAGGGCGAGGGCAGCCGGAGCCCCCUGCCUCGUGUACCCAGCUCUGGCUGCUCCUGGGAUUAGUCUGAGGGUACAACCCAGGCCUGGACGUGGUGGCAUUUUCCCAGAAAGCCGAACUGAAGAAGGAUGAAGCAGGUUGUGCUAGAGGGAAUUCAGAAAGGCUGUGGAGAGAGAGAGAAAAGAAAGACAGGGUAAGGUAUAGAUGGGAGCAGGCUGAGAGAGCCCUAAGACAAAGCAGAACUUCAAAGCUGCAGAGACGAGCAGAAUGUCAGCAGCUUGUAAUUAGCGGUUCAUGGUUGCGUCAGAGACUAUCUCUCCAAGAAUAACUGUGUGAUGUGUGCCCCAGCGUGCGGAAGACAGUCAUAACUGAGUUAUCAAGCAUAGUUCACGCAAGGGCAGAUGCAUGAAGGCAUUUUCGGUUUGAAAAUCAAGUAUGGCUCUCCCUGGCUGGAUGCUGCCUAACUUCUGGCAGAGUGAUCAGCGCGUCAGAGGGAAUGUGUUUAUUACACAAAACAGUGAACCUGGAAGCAUACAGAUUGAGUGUGCAAGCCCUGUCACUGUAAGACACCGUCCCAAACAGCCCCACACUGCCCUGCUGGGCUCCGGUCUCUGUAUAUACCCAUCACUUUUGUUUGCGUUUGCGCAUGUCAGUGGAGGCAAGCCAAAAGUGCACGCAAGUACCUGUGCUCCAUUAGAUUCUAAAAUCUCUACCAGAGAAUUAAAAACUGACUGUGGGCUCUGAGUUUUUUGGUGUCCUUAAUUUAUAUCUUGAAGAAGCGUUUGUUGUCUUGAAGGCAAACAGCGUUUUGUUAGUGAUCCCGUGGGGAGGUGUCAUACCACAGUCACUGAGAGUUGGAAGGGCACCUUCACUCCUCCACCUUGUCUCUGCUGUCUGGAGGUGCUGCCGCUGGCUCCAGCCUCCACAGAGAGCCGCUGGGAGGAGCUGAUUGGUUGACAGGCUCGGGGUGUUUACUCUUAUUUGUUUUCAGUGCUCCUCUGCAGCAUGCAUUUAGUAUUUGUAUUUGUGUUCAUGCUGCACAAUUACUCCUGACCGGCUUUGUUUCUCUGCCCGAAGUGAAGUCAAUUUUAGUUCAGCCUCUGCAAUUGGGUCUCUGGGCAAUAUGCACAUAUGUAUUAUGUUACCCUUGUAUGCACUUUCCCGUUUAAAAUGUGGGUUAGGGAAAAUUGUAGGCAAGGAGAACCAUGUAUAUUAAAUCAAUAGCUUUUUGAAUCACAUGUAAUAUAAUUUAAAUAUACUCACUUUAAGGUUGCCAAAGCCUAUGUUGUCUGAGCCCCGUUAAUUUACAUCUUUGAUUUAGUCAAGGAGUGGAACCUGCCAGAUCAGAAUGCUGUAUUCUGUGCACCCAACAGGGUGGAAGACAUUAUUUUGUUUGUGUUAGUUCAAACAGCUGGUCAUUAAUGCAGUCCCCAUUUCUAGAGUGAAAUGCUGGUGGACAUGAAUGGCUGUCUGAUUAAUGCUGCCCCUCGGAGGGUCCUUCACCCAGCCAUGCUCGUGCAGAAUAAUGUAGCAUGAUGUGAUUGCACUCUAACAGGAUAGUAUGUCAUUGUGUCACCAAGCAAUUGAGGUUAUUAUGGGGCAGGGCAGACAGACGGGACAGUGGGGUUACUAGACCGUAGCAUUUUUAGAAAUACAGGCCUGACCUACUUAGAGUUAUUCUGGCAGGCAACUGCACGGUACAUAAAGUCUCCUGAUAGGCUGAGGCUGUUGCUAGGGGGAAUUAGCAUGAAUUUUUCCACACACAGACUCAGCGACUGAAUGAUAAAAGCUGACUGGAAUUAAAGAGAUUUGGUUUAGCAUUGUACAGAUUGAUCUGCCUCAGUUUUUUUUUUUCUUUUUCUUUUCUCAAGUGCAGAGAAAAAGUGCAGGAAUAGAGAUUUUUGUUUCUAUUUGUUCUUUGACCUUCUCCGUCUCUCCCUCUUGUCCUUCACCCCCCAGAGCCAGGAGGGGAGGAGAGCAGAUCAGUUAUGAAAUUUUGGUUAAUUUCUUACUGCAGGGAUCUUUGAAACCAUGUUGCAAAUAGCAAGAUAGUCAAGCUUGAGGGCUGCUGGGUGUGCCUCACAGAAAGGCUGAUGCUUCUUUUCUUGUCCCCUGUGUAACAAGCUGUCUUGCAGUUGGGCAAGCAUCUUCCAUACACUGUAUAUUUUAUCCUCCCUUUCCCUUUUGGGCUUGAACAAAACAUUUACAUAAAUUCUUUUCUAUCCAAACAGAUUGAAACUUGCAAUUGCUGGCUUGUUUAAAAUAAGAUAGACAAGAUUCCAGAUUUAGACAAGAAAAAAAUAUAUAUAUUACUUUUUGAUUAUAAAAAUAUCUCUUUCUGGUCUAUUUUUGUAUUUUGAAAAGCCUAGUCUGAUGUUUAUGCUCAGGCAUAGAAUUUAACUCCACCCACCCUUUUGUUUCCCAGUAUACAAAAUGCACUGGGUUUUUUUGUUUGUUUGUUUCAUUUUUUUGCUUUCUUUUUUUUUCUGCCGGAGAAAGGGUAGCUGCAGAAAACAGUCUCGAGACUGUUUUUCCAUGUUGCUGACAUAGGCACUGCGUGUAGAGAGAGCUCACAUAAUCAGUUUUACAACUUGACCCAUUUCCCCCUCCCCAGCAUCCCCAAGUGUCUGCACUUUUAAUAGAUCUUUACAAGAGAGGGGUUUUAAUAGACCAUUUUAAGAUAAUCUGCAAGCCCAUCAAGACAAAAAUUAAACCAAUGUGUAUUCAAGAAUACUUGGAGUUUUUCUCUUUUAAUUAUAUGUUAUCUGUGGUGUUUGUGCUGAAAAUAGUCAUUAUCCUGACAUUUUUAUUUGAAAUUAAUUUUUGUAAGGAAGUACUAUGAGUUCACAAGUAAACAAGGAGCUGAGCUACAUAAGUGCUGGAGAGGAGAAAAGAGAACUGUGGUCAGAGUGUCCCACUGAAUUUCUUGGCCAUGUGUAAAGAGGCAAGAGAAUAUUUAGUUGUGGAUUUUCUUUUUUCUUUUAGGUUUUUUUUUUGGUAUUCACAACUAUGUAGAUACAGACACUAUAGUGAAAACAAGCCAAAAAUAAUUCAGUGGUAUCUAAUCAAGAAAGCCACUGAUUGUCCUCUUUAAAAAAAAAUCCAUUGAGUGUUGUUUCCAUUUUAGCAUCUAAAUACAGCUUAACAAGCUGAAGGAGAGAAUGUUGCCUGAUGGAGGGAUGAAUUGUGCCCUCACUAGCUAGGAGAUUCCCCACAAUAGCAUUAAUCAUAAGGAGCUCCAACCACACAACAAUCCUUCAUAGUUGAAUAAAAGGUCAAUUUACUUUUGCUGAAUAUAAAAUAUCCUUGUGUUCUAUUACUUCCGAAAUGAUGCAAUCUUUUCUUACAAAAUUAUUUUCAUAAAUGAACUUUUUGCCCUUUCUUCUGCCAUAUUCACUUUGCUUAAGUCAAUAUAAAAGUAUUUAAAUAUUUAAGCGCAAGGAUAUAGAAAUAAAACAUCAAUUUUAAAGCCACUAAAGUAAGGACAUAUUUUACAUUAACAUCUUCAAUGCACAGAUCUCUAAUUUGUAAAGCUUAUAGCCUGUGUCCAGGUAUGUAGUCACAGUGAAUGUUUGUUGUUUAAUGAAGACAAAUUGGCUACAUUGAAUUGUUCAAUAUAAUCUUUCUUGGACGUUUAGGUUGUUAAAAAGUUUUCUUCUUACUUUGGUUUGCAACCGUUACUAGAGAGGCAACAUUCAGUGCCAACAAAAAUAAAGAGAGCAUACUUUUAAAUGUAAUUUAUGCUUACUUAACUUCAGUUAAACUUAACUCUAGACAUUCACUUAGUGUGUGUCAAUAGUAUUCCCUUCAUCCACUGCCAUUGAUUAGGCAGCCAAGGGAACAAGCACACUCACUCAUUGCAUUGAUUAUUUAUUAGGUGAGCAUUUCUUUUCUGCUCGCACAUGAAGCUGGCUUUUCCAGUUCUAUGGCCCAACAUAGAACAGUGAACGUUGGGGGUAAUCCGGUAGGUAGUUGUUGGGGUCACCAAGCCCAGUUAGAUGCCAAGUAAAAUAUCUCCCUCAAAUAUUCUGUCCAAACUUUGAUGUCACCUAAUCCCUGAAGCUUGGUGAAAGGACUGGUGGCUUUACUACCUAGUGCUUGGAGGUGUUGGGCUCUUUUUAUCUCACCAGUAAGCUACAGCUCUUUCAAACCAUCCCAACACUUGAUCUUAUUGUAGCAGUGAGGCUGUGUCUUUGUGAAGUCAUGUUAGCAUACUCUAGUGCAGAGACUUUUCAGCACCAUUGUUUGAACAGCUAGUAGUGUUUCAACAAUCUUAAGUGCCCAAAUUGUGUGCCAGCUGAGACCCUUAGCCCGAUACUGUCCUGUCUUCCUUUUCUUGCCUUCUCUUCUGUCAGCCUCUUUCUCCCAAAUUUCCCAACCUAUUAUGUGCAUGUGCUAGGUGCAGAGAAAUUGGUUGAUUCAUGGAUGGAUGAAUGAAUGAGAAAAUUAAUGGUUAGCCAGUUGCUUAAAAAUGAGUAAAUUAAUGGUUAUUUAGAAGGAAAAUUUCAUAGAUUCCUAAUGCAGUUGGCUAUUUGUGGACAUACUUAGCAAUGAAAGUUCAAGUAGGCUUUGUGGGCUUCCCUGAUCUCUAUGUAAUUGCUCAACUUGCUUGAUAUAGCUAAAAGGCAGCAAUAGACAGUACAUGAAUGAAUGAGCCAGACUGCCUUUCAAUAAAACUUUAUUUACAGAAACUGGCGAUGGGGCAGAUUUAGCCUAUGCACUAUAGACACAAGUAUAUUCUUACCUAUAGUAUCUUGAAGAUAUGACAUAGGCGUGGUAGAAAUACUCCUCAAAAUAUUUUAAAAGGGGGGGUGAAGAUUUGAAAAGUUCACAAAAAUUAAGAAAAGAAGAAAGAUCAAUAUGAUUUAUAAUGUGAACUCAUUGCCGGCCAAGCAGGUGUUGAUUCUCUGUGAUGAUGGGAAUGAGGUGGAACAAUUUAUUUUGAAACUUGAGGAUUAAAGUAAACCUGACUACUCUUCCUUAAGAUGAUAUUGUUCAAGAUGCAAAGAAACAGAUUUUUUUUAACCUUGCAAAACUGCCAUUCUGGUGUUGGUUGCCAGGGGUGAAGAGUGAGUUCAUAUUCUAUUUGAAGAACUAACAGGAAAUCCAAAACAUGACGAAGAAUGGCCCCACAGCCGUGUGGAGAGAUGGAUGACUCAGUGGUUUAGAGGGCGAGCUGCUUUUGUAGAGGACAUGAACUCAGUUCCUAGCACCCCCGUAGGACAGACAGCUCUUAGCACCCCUUAGGACAGAGCAUCGCUGCCUGUAGUUCCAGCUCAGCAGACCUGACAGCCUCCUUCUGGACACAAUGGGCAUCUGCUUUGAAUGUGCACAUAUCCACACACAGACACGCAUAUACACACAGUGAGAAAUAAAAUAAGCAGCAGCAAAUGACCACAGCAUAGUCACAGCAUCGUGCUGGCCUGUACUACUGUUUCAUUAGUGUAAAUGCUGUAUUGAACUAGUUGCCCUUAUCCCUGGCGGUAUGAUUUAAAGACCCCAUUGAUGCCCAAAAUGGCAGGCUAUGCAGUGGGUGAUCUGCAAUGCAAUUUCCCCUACAAUUUUGGUAUAUACAUGUACUAAAGCUUCAUUUAGAAAUCUGUCAUAGUAAGACUCCUGAUAAGAUAUGGUAAUUGAAUUGUAAUAGAAAUUACACAAAAUGUGAUUUCUCUGUGUGUGCUGCUGUAUGUGGGUGACGUAUGCACAUGUGUAUGUGGAGGCCAGAGGUUGAUGUUAGGUGUCCUGCUCUAUUGUUCUCCACUUAAUUUUGCUGACACAAGAUCUCUCAUUGAACUCACCAGCUGGGCAACACUAAAGGUAAAUAUAGAGGUGACCACUAUACUGGGAAGGAUUGUGUGCUUAUUCCCUCUGAAGUUUUAAAAGUUGACUCUUGGAUUUUAGUUAAUUCUCUUUGAAGAAUUCUCUAGACACACAGCUUUUUUUUUCUGUCUGUUUGUAAGGCCAAAGGCAGAUGGAAACAAAAAAGAGGGCCACCCAUUCUAUUGCCCUAAGGCUAUACCUGAAUUAUUUUCAAACUAUGCUUAAGACUUAUCACUUCCAAAAAACUUGUCCUGGUCCAGUGGCUCUGGGGGAACACAGGUCUUCCAGCAUCUGUGAUUUGAUGUCUGGUGACUUCUUAAAGACUCUGCUUUCUCUGAAUCCUUUUCAGCACACAAAGGUGACUUAGAUUGUCCUAGAACACAGAACUCCUGCUAAAAUGUCAUUCACCUCUGUGUGACAAUACAUACCCCAGGCUGCAAAAUUGUGUCUUUCUUCAAUACCCAAUGAAGCCAUGUGUGUGUUCCUAGUGCCCAAAUAGUUGUGAAAUUAAUGGCUGCCAUAAAUUUGCCCAUUCUCAGUGUAUAUCCUAAUAAUUCAUGUUACACAUGUCACUUGGACUUUCGCUAAACUAUUAAUAGUGAAUAUAAAUUAAUGAUGAGAUUGAAUCUAUUCCAGCAGUCAUGGGAAAUGACUUAAAGAGACAGGGGCUUAUCCUUAGUCACAGAAUCAGUUAAGCUAAAAAUACAUAUAUUUCUUUGCCUUUUCCAGCGAUCAAAAACCACUCCUUCUACAUUUUUAUUUAGAUAAGAGAGCUGCAUGGGAGAUGAAAGAAGAAAACAGAUUUUUAAAAAGUAACAAAAACAGGUAUUGUUUUAAAAGCAAGAAUAAUCAUUAUUGUUUCAGGGGAAUAUAAUCAUGAAAGGUGUGGCAUAUUCCGAGUGAGAUGUUCUUGAUUGAGAAGCUUAAUAAAUGAAAAAUGUUCUGGAAAUAUCAGUUGAAUUUGAUACAUGAUAGUUUAGUUUGUCUUUAUAUCUUUUCUUAAUAAAAAGAAAUCCUUUGGUUGUCUAAUAGAAAUGUUAGAAAAAUGUUGCUUUGAUGCUUUUUAGGGCCUUUUCUUCCCAGCAAUGCUUAGUGCAUUCAGAGCAGAGGUGUGGCAGCAGGAGGGGUGGGGUGCGGCUGAAUGUCUCGGGUCUCCCUGGGGCUUUUUCCUUGCUAUUGCCAGUGGCUACAAAUGGCCACCAACCCCAGGGAAGUGAAUGGAACAGCAUGCCAGUCAAAGCCUCUUUGUACUCACUGCCAAUUGCUAGGUGUGAUUGAAUAUUUUUGAAAGAAGCCGAUACGUAAAAAUGGGCAUUUAGCUAGAGCCUUUUAGAAAUGAUCCAUUUCCUUCAUUUUCUUUUCAAAUCUAUUUGAUGCCAUGGUAUUGGACUCUGCCUACCCCUCUUAUUAUCUAAGCUAUUCAUCCAUACUAUAAAAGACACAUAGUAAGUACCAGGUAGAUGACAUUGGGCUUAGCAUGUUUUUCCUCCUCUAACUGCUAUAGAUUCCUGUGUUUUUGUCCUUGUUCUGUUACCAGGAGUCCUUGUUUCAUCUGAUUUUCCAGGCCAUAGUCAUUGAAGUUCAUAGCACAGGCCUCUUAUUUUCUGGGUCCAGUUACAAGCAUGAAGAAUGCCUGUAUUGUUUUGUAAGAAUGACUGCUGGCACCUUGAAAGUUACUGUGUACUCAGAGCAACAGAUAUGAAGGAUUUGUAAUGUUUUCAUUUUAAGGACUCCUUUUACACUUGGUUAUUGGAAGAACAUUCCACAGAGCUCUGCAUGUCAACUCAUUUCAACAGAAAACACAGAAAUAUUGGGCAUGGUGUUUAGCGAUCAUCAAUCUUGAUUAGUCAAUGGACUCUUAAGGAGGUGUGGAAACUGUUUUCAUUUAUUUGUUUUUUUUAUAACAGAUGCAAAUUUAAAUCGGAGGAGGCACAUAGCGAAAUAUUGGUAAUUUGAAGCCAAUUCAAAUGAGAGAGAGUAAACAGUUUGGAGAGAGUAUGUCUUCUCUUAGUCUGUGUUCCACCAGGUUAGGAUUUAGGGCUGGAGGUUGGCGGUCCUGCCUAGUUUUGAGUACUCACUGAGGCAAGCAGGGCCCUCUGUGUUUCCAGGCAUCCAUCCCUUUGGAAUUCUCUCAAGUACAGACAGGUAGGUGUGGCAGCACUGUGCCUUCAUAGCAUUGCUUAUUUUAAAAUCAGGGUUUAACACUGGGAGCUUGACUUGCUGUGAACCAACCCCAUUUACUUAUAUCUGUCCACAGUGGUAAGACCCUUAAAAUUAGUAUUUUCAUAGGCAUCAUAGCUGGGUAUGACCGUUGGUGGUCCUUCUCCUUUGAAGCUCGCAUAGUGGCUUCUGGCAGCAUAAAAGCUAGUCCUUGUGGAGGGACAUUUAGGUCAGUUUUAACUCAUACAUUCUGGGCCCUGUGUCUGAAGUGCAUGGUGUCCUCAUAGAAACUGACCUUCCACCUCUUGGAGCUAACCAAGGGCAACCACAAUAGGCUAUCUAUUUUGUCAGUUUCUUCUACAGCCCUGGCCAACAAUUGAAGGCUUCCCAGGUCUGAGAUCGUGGUUUCGUUAGUUGUUCUGUGGCUCUUGGAGAGAGUCCCAUCAGCAAGAUGAGAAAAGUUCAUUAAAACUGUAUAUGUGUAUUUGUGGACAUGCCAAACCGCACAGAGAAAAGCCCAUGAGUUCUCAACACUGCAUAAAGAACUAUAGCCAACUCAGAAAGCUGGGAAGAGGAGAAGUGGGCUUCCUCAGGCAGAGUGCAUCAAUUGGGUGCCCAGUGCCCUGAGAACAUACAUACAAGUAAACUCAUGUGGACCAAACAGGUUAUAUUUAGGAGUACAUAUAAGCAUGGGACAACAGCAUAUAAAGAGGCCACAGAUUUGAAGUAGUGUAUGGAGGGAUAUUUGGGAGGUUUUGGAGGAAGAAAAGGGAAGGGAUAAAUGUAGUUAUAUUAUAAUUUCAAAAAUAGAAAAAACUUUAAAGAUGAUUAGUAUUUUCUCAAUAUAGGUCAGUUGUGAAAGCAAAGGUCCAGAAUUGAUGUUAUCUGUGUCUACAUUUGUCUUUCCCUCUUUCUUUUUUCUUCUUUCAUUUCCUUCUUUCCUUUUCUUUUUCUCUUCCUUCCUUCUUUCUUUCCUCUCCUUCCUUCCUUCCUUUCUUUUUCUUCCUUUCUUCCUGUAUUUUAAAUUUCAUCUGAGCACUAAUGACUAAUAGAGAGACUCUGUCUUUAAAUGUCCACAUUGCAUUGCUUUCAAGCCAUUCCACACAUACGCAGAGCACAUGGACAACCACCUGGUAUGUUCUUCCCUGUGGAAGACUACCUUUCCCAUUCUCUUCCUCUGUUGGCUACAGUUCUUUGGAGUUUCUUUGAUUCCUCACAUGAAACUCGAAAGGUUUCUCAUACAUGGUACUGGGGUUUGUUAGGAUGGCUAUUGAUAGAUUAUAUGUAUUACAUGUUAGGUAAAUAUAAAAUACUAUGAUUCUUUAUGGCCUAUUCAAACAUAUUUAGUGUUAUUUAUGAUUCCUCCCUCACUCUCCUUCUGUGUUGUCCCUCUUCUUUCCCCCAUUAAAAACCCACCCUGCUCUUUCCCUUUCCCUCUUCACCUGUACCCUGAAAAUCCCCCUCUCUAGAGCUCCUUUCAUACUUCCACGGUCCCUUUUUACUUUCCUAGUCUCUGCAGCUACUCACAUCUGAGAAUUUGGAACUAGGGAUGACAAAUGAGAGACAAUAUGCAACAUUUGUUUUUCUGGGGCUGAGUUACCUCACUCAGUACACUGUUUUCCAGGUCCAUCCAUUUACCUGCAAAUGUAGUGAUUUCAUUUUUAACAGCUAAAUAAUAUUCCAUUUUGUAUAUGUAUGAUAUUUUGGUUAUUCAUACAUCAGCUAAAGAACAUUUAGGUUGUUUCCUUUUCCUUGAUAUUGUGAAUAGAGUGGCAAUGAACAUGAUAUCCUAUAUUUUUGGAGAUUCUAUAUUUUUCAGCUGUAACCAAAGUCUCUCUUUACUCAGUCAUGGCUUAAAGUGUGUCAUGAACUUAGGAAGAGUUUCCAGGCAGACUAAUGACAUCACAGAUGAAGUUAUGUCAUGAAGAACUGUUACUCUGGAGACAUUUUCCAUAGUAAAGGUAAGAGGAAGAAGAGUUCCAAGUCUUGAAAUCUACCAGAUUUCUCCAUGCUUUUGUUUCUGGAAUAUCAUAUUAGAUAUACUUACUUUGAACCAGUAUUUAUACUGGGGGAUUUGGAUGAAAGUAAAAAUUUAAAUAUGCAGCAAAAAAGAACAGAAAUUUGGACUACAUGUUGUCUAAUAUUUUAGCCAUUUGUCCAAUUGAGGCUACUGAAUAUCGUGGCUGGAAACGUAUUGGCACUAGCUAUUGGUCACUGUGUGCUGGGAACAUGGCUGUACAAAUGGAGAUGUUCUGUAAGGAUACAAUUCACUACAGAGUCUACCAACUUACCAUGAUAAAGGAAACGUGAACUAGUAUAGCUCAUCAAGGUAAAUAUUGAUGAUGGCAUUAAAAGUGAUGAAUGGUAUAAUACUAGUAUUUUUGAUGUAUUAAAGUUUACAAUUUUUACAACUGCUAUUUAUUUUGUUUCCUUUUAAGACAGUCUCAUAUAGCCCAGACUGGCCUUGCUCUCACUAUGUAGCUAAUGAUAACUUUGAAUUUCUGAUCCUCUUCUUACCUUUGCCACCUGAGUGCUGAGAUUAAGUGUGUCUGCAUUUGUUGAGGCUUGAAUCCAGGGCUUCAUGAGUGCUGGAUAAGUACUCUAUCAACUGAGUCAACUCCUUUUUGCUUUUGCUUUAAAAUGUGGCUUCUAGAUACUUUAAAAUAAUACACAUGCCUUAUAUUCCAUUUCUAUUGGACAAUGCUCCCCUAUAAUAAUCUGUUAUCAUUUUUCAUGUGGAAGCUGUCACUGUGUCCCAGGAGCCUCAUAGAUACCAUUACGAUUGUGAAUGAGGAUACUGAUGGAAUGUGGUGAGCAGCAGAAGUCAGGAUACUCUGAAGUCACUCUUAAGAUUGAUCCUGCAUGAGUCUCUUCUGGAAGCUGUUAGCUUUGCACACACACACACACACACACACACAGAGAGAGAGAGAGAGAGAGAGAGAGAGAGAGAGAGAGAGAGAGAGAGAGAGAGAGAGAGAGAGAGAGAGAGAGAUCUUUUCAUUCCAAGGAACUGACCCAGAAUUCUUGCAGGCAAUCCAGAGGUGAUACAGUAGGCUACCAAUUUACAGUGAAGAAAAGAAUUGAAAUCAAUUUUCAAGAACUCACUCAUCUCAUUUUUAGUGCUGUUAACAUGUGGGUCAGAAAAUUCUCUGUAGCAGAUACCAAUGUUUCAUGGGCAAUUCAGCAUUGCCCCAACAUCUACAUGUUAGUGAGAAGCACCACUACAUAGCCUACCAAUGGCCAAGGAUAAGAGACUAUGGAAAUUGUAUGUCAAUAGAUUUGAUGAGCAAGAUGAAAUGUAAAAGCUGAUGAAAAGACCAGAUGUCAAAAUUAUUCAAAGAGGAAAUAGAAACUUUGGAUCCACUGAUGUCAAUAAAAAAAGUUGUAUAAAAUUACUUUCAGGUCAUGUAUAUAUGAAAUGUGAGUUGUGUACAUAGACUUGAUUCUUAUUCCCAAGAUACUUCAUGCUAGACCUGCAAGCAUUACUGUCUGAAAACAAAUCCCAAAGAUGAAAGCCUUCUAGUCUGUCCUCCCAAGCCUUUCACGCUGCCUGCAUACAGAUGCAACUGCUGUGAUUCAUGUACUGAUAACUCAUCCAUGUCACAUUUAAAUUAUAUUAUUACUAAAAAUACAUCCUACAAAGCACUUGUCUACAUACUAUGAAACGUAUUUGUAAUAUAUAUUUGCAGUGGCGUAAUAUGUUAUAUCAUAUUAAAAUGCUAUGUUUAUAAUGUACUGUAUAAUAAGUGUGGAUUGCCUGGAUUUUAAAGCACCAAGGCAUAGUAAUAGAUAACAAAAUUUUCUGUCAAAAUGUAAACCUUUGUUUGAGAAUGCACAAUAUAAUCUUACAACCAGCCAUAAAUCAUAAAUAUCAAUUUUGACCACAUUAAGAAAGCUCAAAAUUGCUAGGGGAAAAAAAAACCUUCUGGUUGAUGGAAGACCACACAUUCAUGUUUUUAUUAUAAUUUGUUCCACAGGCCGAAGUCAGGAUUGUCAAAACCCUGCAGGCAACAUUAAAGAUUCUGAAACUUCGCUGUCAUUCUCACUCCCAUGAUAUUAAACAGAAUGCAAACACAGAAAAGUA
This is a long non-coding RNA of Mesocricetus auratus (golden hamster), 13078 nucleotides long. RefSeq lists it as uncharacterized. The transcript is spliced from 2 exons. The record is from RefSeq and is a predicted model, not a curated record. Lineage: Eukaryota; Metazoa; Chordata; Mammalia; Rodentia; Cricetidae.